This 1957-nucleotide long non-coding RNA is filed under the name Lathyrus oleraceus (garden pea). RNAcentral describes it as "Pisum sativum (pea) long non-coding RNA (PSAT_LNC000886)". Lineage: Eukaryota; Viridiplantae; Streptophyta; Magnoliopsida; Fabales; Fabaceae. The record is from RNAcentral.
CAUAACCUAGUAGCCUUAACCUAAAAGCCAUUCAUCCUACAAAAAUCAACCUAUUAACUUUAUGCAGGCUGUAAACCAAAUUGUAAACAGUCCAUGAACACGUACAUGACAAACCUAUACCAUACAACAUUGCAUCACCAUGCUAGCAUUCCCAAAUAGCCCAAGCGCAUACAGCAUAUCAGACCUGGAUAAGGUCUAGAAACAGGCUGCAUAACAUAUCCCAAGCAAGCCACAAACCAUGACCUUUCCACAACAUUAAACCAAACUAGCAAUUAACAGAAUUGAAAGAGUGUAGAAAAAAACAAUCUUGCAGGUCGAACUGGACAGUCGACAACAGAAUUUCAACAAGAUUUCCACUUGCACAUUGCCCUGUAAAAGAAGAUGGCAUAAUUUACUAACUUCAUUCAAACUCACAAAUCCAAUCCCACCGAUAUAACCCUUAACCCUGCAUAUUGACAGAAUAUCACAUUGUAAAAUAACAGAACGUAAUGCAGGGAAUCGUGACCUCACUAACUGAAUUUUUAAGUUCUAACAUAACAUAAGUAACAAUCACAUACAGGUCAGUAAACCAAUUUCCAAACCGACGGCUAGAAUACAGAACUUCAAAAAAGAAAAUCAUAAUAAGCUAACAAUUUGCAUAUACAUUUAGUUGCACUAACAACUGGGUUCAUUCAAGCUCAAGUAAUGGACAAGGAUAACAAAUCAGAAACAUCAAUGAUAUUGGUAUAUCCGGUUAACAUUCACAUAACUAAUUCAUCCUGAUUCCCACAGUUAAAAGAAAAAAACUAACAUUAAAACCUGACAUUUGUAACAUAGAAUUUAACAUAAAUAAGUAAUAGCUUAACAGUUAACAUUGCAUAAUUCACAUUUAAAUCUAACGUUAUCAAGUUCUAACAGCAGUGCAUCAGUAAACAAAAUCUGCAGGCCAUUUUCGCAACUAAAGCAUUCUAACAUAUUUAACAGGGUUAAUUAAGAUAAAUACAAGUCCUUAACUAACUUCAUUCCAGCUCAGCAAACUAACUCUAACAGAUUAACCCUAACUAAACUUUAACAAUGUCAUCUUCAUAACCGAAUCGUACAUGGAUGAUUUAACAGAGUUCAAACUCUGUUAAAACUGAGGUCUAUAUAACCAAUUCAAUCAUUACAGAAUCAGAUACUAAUCAUUGCUCACAAAAAUCCAUUAUUAUUCAAUCGUUUCCCAAUCACGUUUCAUUCACUCUCAAACACGAAUUCAGAGAUCUCACUCGGUUUUUUGCUUCAAUCCCAAUUUUGUCUCUCUCCCUCACUCAAAGCUCUAUUCAGAACUCCAUUGAAGCUUCACCUUAAAGCUUCAAGAAGAGUUAGCUAAGCCUCUCAUUACUCACGGUUCGAUUUUGGAAGAAGAAGUAGAAAAUAGAAGAAGCAAUGAACAUCAAAGGAAGAAGCAGAUCGUGAAUUUUACUUGUUUGUUCACGUGAUUUUCCUUCACAUUUCGUCAACAUUCACCAGAACAGUUCUCCGUUUCGGAGGUAAAAUUUCUUCUCUGUUUGCCUCAAAAUUAAUCAUCAUUGUGUAGUAGAUCUUCUUUGACAACAUUAACCCCAUGGUUUGCGAGAGAAUCCUUGUUUUUAUGUCGUUUAAUUUAACUUUGACAUGUUAGGGUUCUUGACUGAGCGCUUUCGAUUGGAACGAUUCAAGUUGUUUUUAGAGCUUUUCAUGGCCAUAUAUGGAUUUAGGGGAAAGAAUAGGGUAGAAAUACAGUUUCUGUUUGAGAUUUUAUGGUAUCUCCGUCGCCGAGGGAACCUCCGGCGCGGCGGUCGAAAGACGGUAAGUAAAGAGAGGGAUGAACUUGGUAUUUUCAAAUAUUAUUUUAAAGAAUCUUUGGCCUUAUUCAUGUGCAUUGGUAAGCCUCAGAAAUUACUACUCACGUGAUUUGGAUCAUUAAUUGCAUGCGAAUUCCCAGGCGUCAUGACCAUGC